AUUGAACGCUGGCGGCAUGCUUAACACAUGCAAGUCGAACGGAAACGCGAAGAGCUUGCUCUUUGGCGUCGAGUGGCGGACGGGUGAGUAACGCGUGGGAAUCUACCCAGAAGCGGGGGACAAGCCAGGGAAACUUGGUCUAAUACCGCAUAAUCUCUUUGGAGUAAAGGUGGCCUCUAUUUAUAUGCUAUCGCUUUUGGAUGAGCCCGCGUUAGAUUAGCUAGUUGGUGGGGUAAAGGCCUACCAAGGCAACGAUCUAUAGCUGGUCUGAGAGGAUGAUCAGCCACAUCGGGACUGAGACACGGCCCGGACUCCUACGGGAGGCAGCAGUGGGGAAUAUUGGACAAUGGGCGCAAGCCUGAUCCAGCAAUGCCGCGUGUGUGAAGAAGGCCUGAGGGUUGUAAAGCACUUUCAAUUGUGAAAAAGGGUAUAAGCUUAAUACGCUUGUAUUUUGAUAUUAACUUUAGAAGAAGCACCGGCUAACUCUGUGCCAGCAGCCGCGGUAAUACAGAGGGUGCGAGCGUUAAUCGGAAUUACUGGGCGUAAAGCGCGCGUAGGCGGUUAUUUAAGUCAGAUGUGAAAUCCCUGGGCUCAACCUAGGAACUGCAUCUGAAACUGGGUAACUAGAGUUUAGGAGAGGGGAGUAGAAUUUCGGGUGUAGCGGUGAAAUGCAUAGAGAUCCGAAGGAAUACCAGUGGCGAAGGCGACUCCCUGGCCUAGAACUGACGCUGAGGUGCGAAAGCGUGGGUAGCAAACGGGAUUAGAUACCCCGGUAGUCCACGCCGUAAACGAUGUCAACUAGCCGUUGGGACCCUUGAGGUCUUAGUGGCGCAGCUAACGCAUUAAGUUGACCGCCUGGGGAGUACGGUCGCAAGACUAAAACUCAAAGGAAUUGACGG
RNAcentral lists this ribosomal RNA (899 nucleotides) under uncultured Gammaproteobacteria bacterium. Its description in RNAcentral is "bacterial SSU rRNA". It matches the Rfam family "Bacterial small subunit ribosomal RNA", at positions 28 to 916 of the family's 1533-position model. Lineage: Bacteria; Pseudomonadati; Pseudomonadota; Gammaproteobacteria. The record is from RNAcentral.